Molecule: ribosomal RNA, 1061 nt
Filed under: Staphylococcus aureus
Lineage: Bacteria; Bacillati; Bacillota; Bacilli; Caryophanales; Staphylococcaceae
Description: partial 23S ribosomal RNA
Rfam family: Bacterial large subunit ribosomal RNA
Source: RNAcentral
CAGUACCGUGAGGGAAAGGUGAAAAGCACCCCGGAAGGGGAGUGAAAUAGAACCUGAAACCGUGUGCUUACAAGUAGUCAGAGCCCGUUAAUGGGUGAUGGCGUGCCUUUUGUAGAAUGAACCGGCGAGUUACGAUUUGAUGCAAGGUUAAGCAGUAAAUGUGGAGCCGUAGCGAAAGCGAGUCUGAAUAGGGCGUUUAGUAUUUGGUCGUAGACCCGAAACCAGGUGAUCUACCCUUGGUCAGGUUGAAGUUCAGGUAACACUGAAUGGAGGACCGAACCGACUUACGUUGAAAAGUGAGCGGAUGAACUGAGGGUAGCGGAGAAAUUCCAAUCGAACCUGGAGAUAGCUGGUUCUCUCCGAAAUAGCUUUAGGGCUAGCCUCAAGUGAUGAUUAUUGGAGGUAGAGCACUGUUUGGACGAGGGGCCCCUCUCGGGUUACCGAAUUCAGACAAACUCCGAAUGCCAAUUAAUUUAACUUGGGAGUCAGAACAUGGGUGAUAAGGUCCGUGUUCGAAAGGGAAACAGCCCAGACCACCAGCUAAGGUCCCAAAAUAUAUGUUAAGUGGAAAAGGAUGUGGCGUUGCCCAGACAACUAGGAUGUUGGCUUAGAAGCAGCCAUCAUUUAAAGAGUGCGUAAUAGCUCACUAGUCGAGUGACACUGCGCCGAAAAUGUACCGGGGCUAAACAUAUUACCGAAGCUGUGGAUUGUCCUUUGGACAAUGGUAGGAGAGCGUUCUAAGGGCGUUGAAGCAUGAUCGUAAGGACAUGUGGAGCGCUUAGAAGUGAGAAUGCCGGUGUGAGUAGCGAAAGACGGGUGAGAAUCCCGUCCACCGAUUGACUAAGGUUUCCAGAGGAAGGCUCGUCCGCUCUGGGUUAGUCGGGUCCUAAGCUGAGGCCGACAGGCGUAGGCGAUGGAUAACAGGUUGAUAUUCCUGUACCACCUAUAAUCGUUUUAAUCGAUGGGGGGACGCAGUAGGAUAGGCGAAGCGUGCGAUUGGAUUGCACGUCUAAGCAGUAAGGCUGAGUAUUAGGCAAAUCCGGUACUCGUUAAGGCUGAGC